GGCCUCCUUAAAAUCACAAACGACUCUCGGCAACGGAUAUCUCGGCUCACGCAUCGAUGAAGAACGUAGCAAAAUGCGAUACUUGGUGUGAAUUGCAGAAUCCCGUGAACCAUCGAGUUUUUGAACGCAAGUUGCGCCCGAAGCCAUCCGGCCGAGGGCACG
Molecule: ribosomal RNA, 162 nt
Filed under: Schlagintweitia intybacea
Lineage: Eukaryota; Viridiplantae; Streptophyta; Magnoliopsida; Asterales; Asteraceae
Description: Hieracium intybaceum 5.8S ribosomal RNA
Rfam family: 5.8S ribosomal RNA (bases 22-162)
About the family: 5.8S ribosomal RNA (5.8S rRNA) is a component of the large subunit of the eukaryotic ribosome.
Source: RNAcentral